Molecule: small nuclear RNA, 164 nt
Organism: Grammomys surdaster
Lineage: Eukaryota; Metazoa; Chordata; Mammalia; Rodentia; Muridae
Product: U1 spliceosomal RNA
Exons: 1
Source: RefSeq, a predicted model, not a curated record
AUACUUACCUGGCAGGGGAGAUACCAUGAUCACGAAGGUGGUUUCCCCAGGGCGAGGCUAACCCAUUGCACUCAGGGUGUGCUGACGUCUGCGAUUUCCCCAUAUGUGGCAAACUAGAUUGCAUAAUUUGUGGUAGUGAGGGACUGUGUUUACGCUCUUCCCUG